RNAcentral lists this transfer RNA (74 nucleotides) under Candidatus Undinarchaeales archaeon SRR5007147.bin71. Its description in RNAcentral is "tRNA-Ala". It matches the Rfam family "tRNA". From Rfam's summary of the family: Transfer RNA (tRNA) molecules are approximately 80 nucleotides in length. Their secondary structure includes four short double-helical elements and three loops (D, anti-codon, and T loops). Lineage: Archaea; Nanobdellati; Candidatus Undinarchaeota; Candidatus Undinarchaeia; Candidatus Undinarchaeales. The record is from RNAcentral.
GGGCCCUUAGCUCAGAUCGAUAGAGUGCCGCUUUCGCAUGGUGGAGGCCACGAGUUCAAAUCUCGCAGGGUCCA